This 218-nucleotide long non-coding RNA is filed under the name Prunus persica (peach). RNAcentral describes it as "long non-coding RNA (PPER_LNC007243)". Lineage: Eukaryota; Viridiplantae; Streptophyta; Magnoliopsida; Rosales; Rosaceae. The record is from RNAcentral.
CCUAUUCCCAUAAUCUCUUUGCCAGGCAGUGGGGCAAUUCUUCAAUUUCCAGUGCAUACUGUCUAUACUUCCAAUCAUGCCUGGAAAACCUCGAGCUUCAGCUUUUUGUAGAAGCCUUUGAAGGUCCCUGGGGUAGGUUUGCGAAGGUAGUCCCUGGUGUAGAGAGUUUCGAUUGCAUCACAGAAUCUGACCAAGCUCUCUAGAGUAGUGGAUUUCCC